UACGGAAGGUGCAAGCGUUAAUCGGAAUUACUGGGCGUAAAGCGCGCGUAGGUGGUUUGUUAAGUUGGAUGUGAAAGCCCUGGGCUCAACCUAGGAACUGCAUCCAAAACUAACUCACUAGAGUACGAUAGAGGGAGGUAGAAUUCCACGUGUAGCGGUGAAAUGCGUAGAUAUGUGGAGGAAUACCAGUGGCGAAGGCGGCCUCCUGGAUCUGUACUGACACUGAGGUGCGAAAGCGUGGGUAGCGAACAGG
Molecule: ribosomal RNA, 253 nt
Filed under: uncultured bacterium
Lineage: Bacteria
Description: partial 16S ribosomal RNA
Rfam family: Bacterial small subunit ribosomal RNA
Source: RNAcentral